Molecule: ribosomal RNA, 360 nt
Filed under: uncultured bacterium
Lineage: Bacteria
Description: partial 16S ribosomal RNA
Rfam family: Bacterial small subunit ribosomal RNA
Source: RNAcentral
UGGGGAAUAUUGGACAAUGGGCGAAAGCCUGAUCCAGCCAUGCCGCGUGUGUGAAGAAGGUCUUCGGAUUGUAAAGCACUUUAAGUUGGGAGGAAGGGCAUUAACCUAAUACGUUAGUGUUUUGACGUUACCGACAGAAUAAGCACCGGCUAACUCUGUGCCAGCAGCCGCGGUAAUACAGAGGGUGCAAGCGUUAAUCGGAAUUACUGGGCGUAAAGAGCGCGUAGGUGGUUUGUUAAGUUGGAUGUGAAAUCCACGGGUUCAAACUGGGAACUGCAUUCAAAACUGACUGACUAGAGUAUGGUAGAGGGUGGUGGAAUUUCCUGUGUAGCGGUGAAAUGCGUAGAUAUAGGAAGGAAC